UCCAUGCGGUCGGUGCAUGGUACAAGUGUAGUGAAGUUAUUGCUCAAAUUAAUUUAGUAUGAGAUCAUGGAGUCAUUGCAUAUGCAUAAGGUUCAGUAAACUAUAAAUUACAUCUGAUCGAGACGCAAGUUGGGAGUCGUUGGGUGACAGUCGCUUGAUGCAAACCAGGGUAGAAAUGCCCUGAGCUAAGGGGAUUUUAUCACGUAACUCGGACGGGGAAUUCAACAUGAUCUGCAAAGGAAUAACUGUUCUAUUGGAAUUAUUGAUUAAAGGAACUGCUCUUUCUACAUUGAGGAUUACAGAACUGUGAUCUGGAAAUAAUGCUGUCUGAAGGAACAUUACUGAACUCUAUUUUCCAUGUGAGGAAUAACACCGGAAUGGAUUUACAAAGUUUUUACUGGCCCAAACAACAAAAAUGGAUAUAUGCAGAUCUAAAUCUGGUCCGGACCCCCGUCCACCUCCCCCUGGGCCCCGGCGGGUCUCAAACACUUGUCGGGUUUCAGGAGAGGAGUCGACUACGGCCAAGCCGGCUGCUCUCUCCCUCUAAAUUACAUAUUCUGGGUGAACAAAGUCCUGCAGGUUGAGCUCUCUGGUGUCCUGGGUGAGAUAGAUGGUGUCUACAUCCUGGAAAAAAAGAGAGCAGGGGAGCCAGAGGGGCAGAUCUGGUGCAGACAGCUGCCGAUGUGAGCGAUCACCUCGUCCACUUCCUCUGCCGAGCCUAACCGGAGGCUCCAUGGCCCCCGUUCAUACUCCAGCACCACCUGCAGGGGGCGACAACCACAAAGGAACGUGACGAGAACAACUCACAACGCCUGUGGUGAUAAAAUCUGGAAACUCCAUGCCUCCUUAUGAUCUGGCUUCCAUGAAACAGCCUGAGGAGGUGAAUUCAGCUGAAGGAGUGUUCGACCUGAAGACACAGAUUGUGUAAAUACAUGGAGUUAAUCUUCUGUUUCCACAUCUUAUUCACAGAGGUAACUACGGCACAAGGGGGACACACUGAGCUCUGAUAAGACAAACAACAAAUUAAGAAGUUAUGCGUCUCAAAGGAGAUCUUGUUCUGCACAAUAUGAACUAAAAACAACACUGAUUACAUGUAUAUCUCCUUAUGAGAACUAGGAGACUUUCCCAGGAAAUAUCUGACCAGAAACAGACAGUGUGUAUGUAAAAUCUUUCAUGAACUUCAGGUGAUGCACACACACACACAUAUAUAUAUAUAUGUAAAACACAUAUUUGUGUCUACUAGAGUAGACCGUGUUCCAUAUAGAAGCACUUAAAUGUGUUCAUAUGCUGAGCUUCUGAGCGGCACAGUUUUGUGACUGCUUAACAGAAUAAAGUAUGACAAUAAAACAAAAAAUGAAGACACAGAAGAAAAACAUGUGACAUAUUUUUAAAAGUACUUCAAAUGCAGUUCUAACAGCUACUUCCUGACUGGCCACAACUUCUAACACACACAUAGUACAUUACUUUUCUUUUUUGGACACAUUUUCUUACUUAGGUUCCUUAGUUACAUAGGUCAUAGAAAAUCUUCAUGCUAAAUCACAUUAGUGCAGUAAAGACAGUAGAGGGUACAAAUUUGAGGAAGGCCCUUUCCUGUUUCAAUAUGAUGACGCUUCUAUCAGUCCCUCCAGGAUUUUGCGGAUGUUUUUCAUGAUUGCUGCGACCGAAAAUGCCUGAAUUCGCGGCAGCUUUUCUAAAAAAUUGCGAUAAAAGUUGCGAUGUUUUAAGCUUAUUUAUUGUGAUAAAAUUGCGGGAGACAGUGACAAUUGCUAAAAAGCUGCAUUUUUUCCAGCUUGUUGAACAUGUUUAAACACUGUAAUUGAUAACAUUUAUUCUGAAAUUAAUUAUUGAACGUUCCAACCCAUUUCCACAAAAGCUGGCACACCAUGGUGGGACAUUAGCAGCAGCCAGAUACUGGUUUAAUAUGACGUGACCUAACUAUGCAGGGGGCGACAAGAAUUGAAAGGACUCAGAAACACCCCCACAAUUUAAUCAGUUGUUCCUUGUGUCAUUUCCGAUACGUCCACUGUGGUAGAUUUGUUGUAGGAUCACAAUCAUGUGAUCGUCAGUAGGUCGCUGAGAUAGCGUUCACUUGUUGCCACGAUUACCGUGCCACUACCAGACGCCGUGCCGUUAUGAAUCCUUAACAAAUCCGUUGAUCCAAACUUUAAGCUGUAUCCCUGCCGAAGUCUAAUCAUUUGGUCCUUGUGCCAUUUCUGACCGACCCUGAGAACUUCUAUCAAAUCCCUGAGUCUGUUUUUAGUGAUGUGGGUAACAGAGCAAUGAUUCACACACGCUGAUCGUCACAUAACUCCGCCAUGUUCUUUGGUGGAAUAAUUAAUCUAAUUUACCUUCAUUCUUUCAGUGCUCUAAUGAAUCUGGAUGCAACAGUUUCCAUCAUGGUGAUUUGUCUGGUCUGUUGUCCGCUCAUUUCAGCCGUUCUAAUGUGUUUCAUGUUUUUAAAAAAGUGUGUAUCAAUCGAUGAUUUUUUCUUUUUUGUAUUCCACCACAAUAUUGCACGGCUGUACAACAGUUUACCUCCGCUUUGGUGAAGAACAUCAGUGAAUUAAUUGUUUAUCACGGUCUUCAGCAGUAAUUUUUGUUGGUAAAUGAGAGACAUUAGUAUCGCACAUGUCUGCAUCUUCAUACCAUAAACAGGAAGUGAAUUCGGUGACGUACGUGCAUUAGGUUUGCGCUGGGAGCUGCUAUGAUUGGUGGAACUCACGGGAGGCGGGCCAAAAUUGCGGGAAAGUUGCGGUGAUUGAACAAAAUUGCAAGGCCGCGCAAAAUUUGCAGAGAUUGGUUGAUUUCGCGUGAAUUCGCGCGAUCGCAACAACGCGAAUUCCUGGAGGGACUGUUUCUAUGCACAAAGACAGCUUCCAGCGGUGGACUUAAAAAAAAAAAAGAAGAAAAAAAACUAUGUUGAAUUUAGCUGACCAUUUAUUUUACACUAAUUAAAAAAUGAUGUAGAAUGUUUUGUGUCCAUAAGUGUUACCAAUACUGUAUUGUUUUUUAUUUUAAAGGUUGCAUUUUUAAUUUGUUUCCACACUUUGUUCUGUGUAAACACUGCCUGCAGUUCAGCGGAAAAGUUACACAAUUAUUGUCAUAUGACUAUUCAUCUUAGCUGAGAAGGACAGAAUUUUUUUAAUGAAUCUAUAUUGGUUAAGUUCUUAAUGAGACAUGUAGAAUAAAAAUGAUGAAAUAUUAUGACUUUGAAGCUGAGAUUUAGUCAUUUUUCCUAACAGAACUCACACAUGAUUAGACCAAAAAUCUGAUGUCUCUUUCCGUUUUUAUAAUUUCUAGUGUCAAUAUGGCAAUUUAAAAAAACAAACAUGCAUUUUAACCAGCAGGUUUUGGGGUUUAGAGCUUUAUUGCUCAGAAAAACAUUAUGUUUCAUUGCUGCAGCUCCUUGGUUAACAUCAAUAGUUUCGGUUUUGCUAAAUAAGCCAUGCCGUAUCUCUUUUUUCAGGUCGAUUGAGCUGACUGGUCAAGCUCCAACAUGUUUUGAAGUGAAGCAACAGAGAGUUUGCUGUGUCACAAUAACCUCCAAACACACUUUUCACUUCACUAAUGAGCAGCUCUACACUGUGCAAUUUACACUAUCAGCAAUUUACCAGUGAGGAAUCUGUGAGUGAAUCACAGUUAUUAUAUCAAAAAGACAGAGGAACCCUUACUGAUAAGGAGCUGUUUUUAUAAAGACCUGAACAAAACCUAAGGAGAGAGGAAAAGGGGGAAAAAAAAUCACAGAGACAACAAGAAUGUAAAAAACACAAGCUGCAAAUAGUCUGCAGAACAAAUGUCUGGAGCAGAGUCGUGCCCUCGCGCACAUUUCCUUUUGAAUCCAGAAAGUAAAAAUAAUUGUGUGGUCUCAACUCGCUGCCAAAGAGAACAAGUGUGACGGAGGGAAAAGAGGGAGAAAAACAAAGACGGAGGGGGGGAGAUGGAGGAACAAAAAAGAUAGUGAAACCAAGGGAGAGAAUGAAAAAAAAAUCACACAGGCACACAGCAGAAAGAUGAAGAAGUGGGAGAGAGUGGAUUAAAUAAACAGCAGAUAAAAGGAAUGAAAAAGUCAGGAAUGAACUGUAGAGGAAGAGAGGGAAAGGCACAGAGAGGCAGUGCUCCCUCCCCUGCUCUCCUUGCCAGCUGUUAAAUUCCUCCAUUGUCUUUUUUUUCUGCCUCUGCUGGGACAGAACACACUGAGGAACAAACCAGCCUCUGUUUCAGCCCCUCUCAGAGUUAGAAAAACCACUGGCCCACUCUGGAACAACAGAUCAGGGGUCAGCUGGCUGAGCUGGAAACUGUUGCUCAACAGAUUUUUAUUCAGAGGUUAUCAGAGUUGCAGUUGUUGCUGUUUUUGAACUGAAUUUAUUACCUACGAUGUGUCAUCCAACAGUUUUAAAUACGCUCUAAGAGGCAUGCACAUGUUGGUUUUUUAGACUUUGAGAAAUCAUUAACCUCAUUUUGCAUU
This is a long non-coding RNA of Acanthochromis polyacanthus (spiny chromis), 4465 nucleotides long. RefSeq lists it as uncharacterized. NCBI's taxonomy places the organism in Eukaryota, Metazoa, Chordata, Actinopteri, Pomacentridae. The record is from RefSeq and is a predicted model, not a curated record. The transcript is spliced from 4 exons.